UGGAGAGCUUGUGUGAUUAGGGGUGGUCAGGGUGAGGAGCUUGCUGAAGCAACAGGCUGAGCGUUCCCCGUGUGGCAUAUUCUGAACGCACAAGACGAGUCUGUGCCAGCUGCUGCUCAGAUUCUGGCUAACCCAGCUCGUGUGCAGGCCUGAUGGAAACUGAGAGGAGCAUCGCUGGAUCAAAGUGAGAGCAGUAGGGAAGCAAAAGAGGUGGCCAGAACGAGCUGAAGGGCUACAAUGGAGCUGCUGUCCCCUGCAACCAGCAUCUUUAUGUAUCAGGUGUUGAGUGUUUUGACUUUUGGGAAUAACAUCUACCCAAGAUCCAAGCUGGAGGAGGUCAAGCACUGCCUCAUCCAAAAAGGCUUUGACAUGGAUCCAGCAGCAGCCAGGCUCAGGCUUUGUGUGUCCCAGAGCAUUGCAGGGGACAGAAGAGGAAUUGUGAGCCCUCUCAUCCUUGGCUGGGGAGUUCUUAGCUCCAUCAUUUAAGAGGUGUGGGUUGUAAGUUAUGGAACCUCAUGCCUCGAGUGGUAAAUGAAUUCACAUCAUAGGAUGGUGGAUAAUAACUUGUUUGGUGUGAGGGUUUUCAUUUCUUAAUGAGCUCCCAAAAUGAAGCAUACUUCAGAGAGUAUAUUUUACUUCACAGAGUGUCUUGCCUUGUAAAUAUGAUAGAUCCAAAGGAGUUGUGACACAGCUCUAACAGGUCUCCUUACCCAACUGUGAUAAAGCCUGCACAUGGCCAUGAGUGGUACAGGCUGAGAGGACUCAAAUGGAGAUGCAGCAUGUGUAAGGAUUGCUGCUGUGUGUCUUCUGCUCCCACUGUGCAGGACAGCCCAGAGCUAUGAGUCUGAUCUGCACAGAGGUGCUGCAGCAGCGCAGGGUCUGGCAAUGGGAGAAGAGGGUGGGCACCAGGGAGCAAAGAAGAUAAUUUCAGGACCCCUAAAUCUCUGGGAAAGGUUAAAGCCAAGUCUGAUUUGGGACCUCAAACCCAGUUUGUGCAAUGAAUGUAAAUGAGAAUCAGCUACUGAAUGUCAACCUAACCGCAGAGAAGCCUGUAUGUAGUAAGCCAGUGCCACCAUGGGGACAGCCAUAGGGAGGGCAGCAUGAGUCUUGCUCCAGGCGUGGCCCCAUGGCAUUGCU
This is a long non-coding RNA of Pogoniulus pusillus (Red-fronted tinkerbird), 1137 nucleotides long. RefSeq lists it as uncharacterized. The record is from RefSeq and is a predicted model, not a curated record. Lineage: Eukaryota; Metazoa; Chordata; Aves; Piciformes; Lybiidae. The transcript is spliced from 2 exons.